Non-coding RNA from Terrapene triunguis (Three-toed box turtle), 861 nucleotides. NCBI's taxonomy places the organism in Eukaryota, Metazoa, Chordata, Testudines, Emydidae. The record is from the annotation of a RefSeq genome assembly.
AUGACAAGCUCACAUUCGGAAGAGGGAGUAGGCGGAGGGUCAACCCAGAGUAUUUGUAAUGGUUCAGACGGGGGUGGGAAUACCGGGUCUAGGACGGUGACCUUUGGAGCUGGAACAGAACUCUUAGUACUUCCAAAUCUCGAAGACUCUGACCCUUCUAUCUACCAACUGAAGUCCCAAGAUGGAAAGUCGUCAGCUUGCCUUAUCACGGACUUCGCCCCUGAGGACAUCUCAGUUGGGAGUUCAGACGAGGAUAUGACACAAGUCAAUGGCUCCGUUGUGCAGGUGAAAGACCCAGACAGCGGAAAAACGGAAGCAAGCUAUGGGACGGUGCUUUGGAGAGAAGAGAAGCCGCUUCACUGCAUCGCCAAACAUAAAACGAGAGAAUUCAAGAUGGGCGACAGUGAUGAGGAAGGUGACACCUGCGGGAUGAUAGAGAUGGAUGACAAUUUUGAGACAGACGAGAAGCUGAACCUCCUGUCAUUCACGCUGCUGGGCCUGAGAAUCGUUUUUGUGAAAGGAGUGGCGGUUAACCUGCUACUGACCAUCUGGCUGUGGAAAAGCUAAAGAGUGGAAGGAAAGAGGACAGAUGGAAUCUGGAGUGAUGGGAAUUCCUCAGAGACCUGCUGUCAUCUCUUCACCUUCCCAUGCAGCAGGAAAUCGAAUGCAAUGAAUGAUCCCCAUAUCACCUCUGUAGUUAGGCCUGAUGUAUAAUGAUCGGCUGUGCUUCCAUUUAGCGAGUUUUAGAAGGAUCUCACCUACCUAGCCUGGUUUUUCCAUGACCCUCAUUUCUUUCACCCUCCACAGACUGACACAUUUCUCCUCACAAGCUCCCAGUGUGAGGCAAGGAAUUGCUAUUAA